RNAcentral lists this long non-coding RNA (4250 nucleotides) under Olea europaea subsp. europaea. Lineage: Eukaryota; Viridiplantae; Streptophyta; Magnoliopsida; Lamiales; Oleaceae. The record is from RNAcentral.
GUGCAAUCAACACCCUUAUAGUGUCAAGACGUGCCACUGGAGCAAAUGUCUCUGUGUAGUCGAUGCCAAAAUGUUGUGAGUAUCCUUUGGCGACUAACCUUACUUUAUGUUUUUGGAUUGAACCAUCAGCAUUGAGCUUUGUCUUGUAGACCCACUUAACUCCUAUGACUUAUUUGUCUUGAGGAAGAUCUACAAGUUCACAAGUAUUGUUUUUCUUGAUCAUUUUUAUUUCUUCAUCCAUAGCAUUUCUCCAGUCUAGUUGUUUUGAAGCUGCUUCAUAGCUUUCAGGUUCAACAAUCUUGAAAUUGCAGCUUUGAUAUAUUUCCGAUAAUCUUCGUAUCUUUCUUGGUGAUGAUUCUGGUAAGUCAACUGGUUUUUCUAUUGUCGCUUGUUGUGGGGACUCUGGUUGAUUGUUCUCCUCAACGUCACCCUUCUGCUUUUCUAGUUGUGUAAGAAUGCUGAUAGCUUUUCUCUCGAUUUGACCAGUCUCCUAUUUAUAGGUGACAUCUUUAUCAAACUUAACAUCUCGACUUAUAAUUAGCUUCUCUGUUCUUAGGUUAUAUACUCGAUAGCCUUUUGAUUGAGUACUACAACCUAAGAAGAUUCAUUUUUUCGUUUUUCAUCUAGUUUACCUCUUUUCUCCUGUGGAAUAUGUGUGUAGCAGAUGCAGCCAAAAACUCUAAGAUGCUUUGCUGAUGGUUUUCGUCUACUCCAUGCUUCCAUUGGCGUUUUGUCUUGCACAGCUUUAGUUGGACAUUGAUUUAGUAGGUAGAAUACAAUGCUUACUGCUUCUGCUCAGAAAGUUUUUGGAAGACUUUUCUCCAUUAGCAUAGCUCUAGCUGUCUCCAUUACUGUUCUAUUCUUUCUUUCUGAUACGCAAUUUUGUUAAUGUGCAUAUCCAACUAUGAGUUGAUGCUCCAUUCCUUCGUCCUCACAAAACUUGUUGAGUUCAUUUGAUAUAUAUUCUUUGCCUCUUUCACUUCUUAUAGUUUUGAUAUUGCAACUACUUUGCUUUUCAACAUAGCUUUUGAACCUUUUGAAAAUCUCAAAUACUUGGGAUUUUUCACGUAAGAAAUAUACCCAUGUCAUUCUAGUGUAAUCAUCAAUGAAGAGAAUGAAGUAUCUGUUUUGCUCAUGUGAUGGAGUACGCAUCGGACCGCAUACAUCUGUAUGUAUUAGCUCUAAUAGCUUUUUAGCUCUCCAAGAUUUUUUGAAUUGAAAUGGUUGGCGGUGUUGUUUCCUGAGCAAACAUUCUUCGCGGAUUGCAUCAAUAUCUUUUAUGACUGGUAAGUCUCUCAUCAUACUUUUUUGAUGCAGGAUCUUUAACCCGUGGAAGUGGAAAUGUCCAAAUCUUUUGUGCCACAGCCAUGAGUCGUCCACUUAUGCCAUCAUUACUGCACUGUUUGCAUAUCUCCACUGGAUUGGAAAGCAUCUGUUCUCUCACUUUUUGACUUUUGCAAUUACAAGAGAUUUAUCUUUCUUGUCAUAGAUCGUGCAAGAAUCUCCUUCAAAAUGUAAUAUAUAUCGUUUCUCCAUCAUUUGGCCUACACCUAAUAGAUUUUGAUCUAUUGUAGGGACUAAGAGAACUUCAUUGAUGUAUCUCAUGCCCUUUUUUUUGUCAACAGCAAUAGUGCCUUGACCUGUUACCUCUUUAAAAUUUUCAUUGUCAAUCUAGAUUUUAUCAAGACUACAGAAAAUACUUUCGUCAUAUGAUUACUACAACUAUUGUCUAGAUAUCAUGUAUCCAGUUUCUCAUCAGAUGCAUCUUUGCUAGUGGCAUAAAAUAAAUUUCCUCAUACAUAUUUUUCUUCAUAGAAGUUAGCUUGAUGAUUUUGUUUAGAACGACAAAAUUUUUCAUCAUGAUCAAUUUUUUUUACAGUGACGACACUGUGGUUUUCCUUUAAACCAACAGCCCUUCUCCGAAUGAUUUUUUCUUUUACAUAUGCCACAUGUAGGAUACUUGCCGCUUUUAUCAAAUUCUUUUCCUUGAGUUUCUUUAUUUUUACAAUUUUCUUUAAAUUUUCUUCCACCUUUUUUAGAUUUCUGAAACCGCAUAUUAACAUUAGAUUGGAAUGAGUUUUAGGGGCUAAUCUCAUAACGCCUUUCUAAUCUUUUUUCAUGUGCUUCUAGUGAAGCCAUUAAUUUUGCAGCUGUCAACUUAUCUAUAUCUUUUGACUCUUUAAUAGCUGCAAUAAUUGGAUCAUAUUUUUCUGUGCAAGUAAUUAAAAUUUUUCCAGCGGCUUUCUUUUGAGGAACAUCAUCUCCAUAAGAUCUUAAUUAAUUUACUAUUUCAUCUAUUCUUGAAUAAUAAUAUUUCACAGUUUCAGAAUCUUUCAUUUUCAGAUUUUCAAAAUUCCUUCUUAAAAUACCUUCUUUUGUCGUUUUGACAUUCUCACUGCCAUGAAACUCCUCCUCCGAUUUAUCCCAAACUUCUUUUGUCGUUUUGACUCCCACAAGCUCAUUUGUAGAGCAAGUAGUGCUAGAGAAUCUUUUUGUUGAUUCUCUUUAAGUUCCUUUUUUUCGCGGUAGAUAGAGUGGAAAUGUCAUCUGGGUUAAUAUACCCAUCAUUGACGACAUCCCAUAAAUUUUGCGCACAAAAGUAGGUCUUCAUUUUGAUGGACCAAAAGUCAUAAUUGCCUCCAUUAAAUGUUGGAAUAGGGAUGGACGAACGGAAAGUGUCUGCCAUAAUAUCUGAUUACGCCCAAUAUCAAUCGAACAUGGCUCUGAUACCAAUGAUGAUUUUUCUUCUAGUGAUGAGAUUAGAUUAGAUGAUUUAAUAAGUUUAGUAUGGGAUAAUUGUGGAGGUAGAAAAUAGUUAGUUUUUUGUUGGAAGUUGUUAGUAUGGAAGAUUUUGAUAGAAAGUAAUUUAGUAGACAAAGUGGGUAGGAGAAAUGAACUUUAUUAGAAUGACAAUGACUUUUUUUGCUUACAUACAAAUGAGAGACUCAUACCCUAUUUAUAGACCAUAGCUUAAAUAUGAUUUCUUCUAGAUAAUUCUACGUGUGCCUACAAACCUCACAAACUUUCUUGGUGUCCAAGUUUCUCUAGGGAAUUCUAGAUAAUUCUGAUUUUUUAUUAUUCUUGCUUGCCAAGCAAUUCUAGGAUCUUCUACAAAAUUCCUAAAUAUGCAUCAACCAUCAAUAAAAUCUAAAACUAAUUCAGCUGCGGUGAAGGCCACAGCUCAAUUCUGGCCUCAGAUGAUGAACAAGCAAUAAUCUUUAGUUUUCGUAAGGACAAUCCCCUAAGUACACAAUAUUAGUAGAUGUUGAGGUUCUGUCAUGUCGAUUGCUUGCCUAAUUGGCAUAAAAAAGGCAUAGAGAUUGCAGGACUAGUUGGAUUUGUUAUUUGUUUGUUUCAAAAGUGUUUUCUUGCAUGCUCUUUUAUCUUGUCUAGUGCGUGUGGCAGGCCUUGGGGUGAUAGAAAACUGUGAAACCUUUCUUACUAGAAUGCGGAAGUGGGUGACGUUUUGUUUGGGGUGGCCAAGAAUUGUAGGCUGGGAAAACUAUGGCAUAGUUGCAUUUUGUGAGAACUCUCAGGUGAAAUGAAUAGGUUUGUACAUGGUCAGGGCUAAGGGACGACCAAGUUCUUGUGUGCAUUGCUGGGAAUCAUGAUUAAUUGGACAAAGUACUGCUGGAGGUGAAAGGGGAAAGGGUCACUAGUCCUACUUAUAUCCAACAACACAAGCGCCACAUGAUAGCUAUUUCAAAUUAGAUAUGGACAUCUCAGGUGUGGAAGGAGCUUCUAUACUAUGAGUUUAGAUUUGCUGUCCACCUAAUGAAUGGCUGACACAUUAUUUUAAAUUAAUAUAUCCAACAUUUUUCUCAUUACUACUUGUGCUUAAAAUUAGGUGACAUUUUAAUAUAAAAUGAUGUGUUAAUCAUUCAUUCGUGGAUAACAAAAUUCAGAUAAUUGAUCUCAACUCCAUACCACGGGUGCUGUCAUUGGGGACAAGUUUGAGGGUGGUUGGGGCGAUUGCAAGCAAAGAAAGUUAUUGGACACACAUAGCUGAAGAUGCUAAAGCAUAGAAAGUUUGGGAUUGCUAUGAUUUUGGCCAGGAAACGUGGCUAUCAAAUUGCUGCUAUGGAAUGUGACUUGUAAGGGUAGUGCAUAGAAACAAAAUUUAUGUAAAUCUUUUUAUUCACUCUAGCAAUCAUGAUAUUUUUUUCCUAGGUUUGUAAUCUUUGUGACUGUACAAAGCAUGUCUCAAACAUUAAAUGUUUUUAAGUCGUAUAGUUUUUACAACUCUCAUA